This 497-nucleotide ribosomal RNA is filed under the name uncultured bacterium. Its description in RNAcentral is "partial 16S ribosomal RNA". It matches the Rfam family "Bacterial small subunit ribosomal RNA", at positions 28 to 507 of the family's 1533-position model. The record is from RNAcentral.
GAUGAACGCUGGCGGCGUGCCUAAUACAUGCAAGUCGAGCGAACAGAUGAGGAGCUUGCUCCUCUGACGUUAGCGGCGGACGGGUGAGUAACACGUGGAUAACCUACCUAUAAGACUGGGAUAACUUCGGGAAACCGGAGCUAAUACCGGAUAAUAUAUUGAACCGCAUGGUUCAAUAGUGAAAGACGGUUUUGCUGUCACUUAUAGAUGGAUUCGCGCCGCAUUAGCUAGUUGGUAAGGUAACGGCUUACCAAGGCAACGAUGCGUAGCCGACCUGAGAGGGUGAUCGGCCACACUGGAACUGAGACACGGUCCAGACUCCUACGGGAGGCAGCAGUAGGGAAUCUUCCGCAAUGGGCGAAAGCCUGACGGAGCAACGCCGCGUGAGUGAUGAAGGUCUUCGGAUCGUAAAACUCUGUUAUUAGGGAAGAACCAAUGUGUAAGUAACUAUGCACGUCUUGACGGUACCUAAUCAGAAAGCCACGGCUAACUACGUG